RNAcentral lists this ribosomal RNA (777 nucleotides) under Bacillus safensis. Its description in RNAcentral is "bacterial SSU rRNA". It matches the Rfam family "Bacterial small subunit ribosomal RNA", at positions 56 to 817 of the family's 1533-position model. The record is from RNAcentral. Lineage: Bacteria; Bacillati; Bacillota; Bacilli; Caryophanales; Bacillaceae.
UGCAGUCGAGCGGACAGAAGGGAGCUUGCUCCCGGAUGUUAGCGGCGGACGGGUGAGUAACACGUGGGUAACCUGCCUGUAAGACUGGGAUAACUCCGGGAAACCGGAGCUAAUACCGGAUAGUUCCUUGAACCGCAUGGUUCAAGGAUGAAAGACGGUUUCGGCUGUCACUUACAGAUGGACCCGCGGCGCAUUAGCUAGUUGGUGGGGUAAUGGCUCACCAAGGCGACGAUGCGUAGCCGACCUGAGAGGGUGAUCGGCCACACUGGGACUGAGACACGGCCCAGACUCCUACGGGAGGCAGCAGUAGGGAAUCUUCCGCAAUGGACGAAAGUCUGACGGAGCAACGCCGCGUGAGUGAUGAAGGUUUUCGGAUCGUAAAGCUCUGUUGUUAGGGAAGAACAAGUGCGAGAGUAACUGCUCGCACCUUGACGGUACCUAACCAGAAAGCCACGGCUAACUACGUGCCAGCAGCCGCGGUAAUACGUAGGUGGCAAGCGUUGUCCGGAAUUAUUGGGCGUAAAGGGCUCGCAGGCGGUUUCUUAAGUCUGAUGUGAAAGCCCCCGGCUCAACCGGGGAGGGUCAUUGGAAACUGGGAAACUUGAGUGCAGAAGAGGAGAGUGGAAUUCCACGUGUAGCGGUGAAAUGCGUAGAGAUGUGGAGGAACACCAGUGGCGAAGGCGACUCUCUGGUCUGUAACUGACGCUGAGGAGCGAAAGCGUGGGGAGCGAACAGGAUUAGAUACCCUGGUAGUCCACGCCGUAAACGAUGAGUGCU